UGCAGUCGAACGGUGAAGGAGGAGCUUGCUCCUUUGGAUCAGUGGCGAACGGGUGAGUAACACGUGAGUAACCUGCCCCAGACUCUGGGAUAAGCACUGGAAACGGUGUCUAAUACCGGAUACGAGCUUCAGCCGCAUGGCUAGGAGCUGGAAAGAAUUUCGGUCUGGGAUGGACUCGCGGCCUAUCAGCUAGUUGGUGAGGUAAUGGCUCACCAAGGCGACGACGGGUAGCCGGCCUGAGAGGGUGACCGGCCACACUGGGACUGAGACACGGCCCAGACUCCUACGGGAGGCAGCAGUGGGGAAUAUUGCACAAUGGGCGCAAGCCUGAUGCAGCAACGCCGCGUGAGGGACGACGGCCUUCGGGUUGUAAACCUCUUUUAGUAGGGAAGAAGCGAAAGUGACGGUACCUGCAGAAAAAGCACCGGCUAACUACGUGCCAGCAGCCGCGGUAAUACGUAGGGUGCAAGCGUUAUCCGGAAUUAUUGGGCGUAAAGAGCUCGUAGGCGGUUUGUCGCGUCUGCUGUGAAAACUGGAGGCUCAACCUCCAGCCUGCAGUGGGUACGGGCAGACUAGAGUGCGGUAGGGGAGAUUGGAAUUCCUGGUGUAGCGGUGGAAUGCGCAGAUAUCAGGAGGAACACCGAUGGCGAAGGCAGAUCUCUGGGCCGUAACUGACGCUGAGGAGCGAAAGCAUGGGGAGCGAACAGGAUUAGAUACCCUGGUAGUCCAUGCCGUAAACGUUGGGAACUAGAUGUAGGGACCAUUCCACGGUUUCUGUGUCGCAGCUAACGCAUUAAGUUCCCCGCCUGGGGAGUACGGCCGCAAGGCUAAAACUCAAAGGAAUUGACGGGGGCCCGCACAAGCGGCGGAGCAUGCGGAUUAAUUCGAUGCAACGCGAAGAACCUUACCAAGGCUUGACAUAUACCGGAAAAGUUCAGAAAUGUUCUCCCCGCAAGGUCGGUAUACAGGUGGUGCAUGGUUGUCGUCAGCUCGUGUCGUGAGAUGUUGGGUUAAGUCCCGCAACGAGCGCAACCCUCGUU
Molecule: ribosomal RNA, 1040 nt
Filed under: Frigoribacterium sp. 762G18
Lineage: Bacteria; Bacillati; Actinomycetota; Actinomycetes; Micrococcales; Microbacteriaceae
Description: bacterial SSU rRNA
Rfam family: Bacterial small subunit ribosomal RNA
Source: RNAcentral